This 484-nucleotide ribosomal RNA is filed under the name Bicoxidens flavicollis. Its description in RNAcentral is "partial large subunit ribosomal RNA". The record is from RNAcentral. Lineage: Eukaryota; Metazoa; Arthropoda; Diplopoda; Spirostreptida; Spirostreptidae.
CAGGGCCCUGGCCACUCGAUUAAUUGAAGGGCUGCAGGAUUUUGACUGUACAAAGGUACCAUAAUCAUUAAUCUUUUAAUUGAGGACUGGUAUGAAAGGUUUGACGGAGAUUGGCUGUCUCCGGCUUAAAAUUGUGAAUUUUAUUUUUAAGGAAAAGAGCUUAAAUGCUCCAAGGGACAAAAAAACCCUAUUAAAUUUCAUUAUUGCUAAAAAAAAUUUUAUUUGUAUAAAAUUUUUUUUUAAAAAAUAAUUUUGGUGGGGCGGAAAAUAAUUAACAUUAUUGGCUUUUAAUAAUUUAAUUAGCUUUAUUAUGACCCACUAAGUGUGAUAUUAAAAAUAAAUUACUAUAGGGAUAACAGCGUAAUGUUUUUUGAAAUUCAUAUUGCAAAAAUGUUUGCGACCUCAUGUUGGAAAAGGAGUCUAUCGGSGCAAAUUUAAUAAGAGGCCCCCCCCACAAAACCCCUAAAGGUCUGGUUCACCGGAA